AGGCCAUGAUUUGGGCAACUCCGGAUGAUUCCCUUAAAACGCUCCCAAGAUUCAUAGAAUGACUCAAGAUCCUUUUGCCCAAAGGACAUGAUAUCCGCCUAGAUUU
Tripterygium wilfordii is the source of this 106-nucleotide small nucleolar RNA. The record is from RefSeq and is a predicted model, not a curated record. Lineage: Eukaryota; Viridiplantae; Streptophyta; Magnoliopsida; Celastrales; Celastraceae.